CGUAGGGUGCGAGCGUUAAUCGGAAUUACUGGGCGUAAAGCGUGCGCAGGCGGUUUAGUAAGACAGGCGUGAAAUCCCCGGGCUCAACCUGGGAACUGCGCUUGUGACUGCUAAGCUAGAGUACGGCAGAGGGGGGUGGAAUUCCACGUGUAGCAGUGAAAUGCGUAGAGAUGUGGAGGAACACCAAUGGCGAAGGCAGCCCCCUGGGUCGAUACUGACGCUCAUGCACGAAAGCGUGGGUAGCAAACAGGAUUAGAUACCCUGGUAGUCCACGCCCUAAACGAUGUCAACUAGGUGUUGGGAGGGUAAAACCUUUUAGUACCGGAGCUAACGCGUGAAGUUGACCGCCUGGGGAGUACGGCCGCAAGGUUA
Molecule: ribosomal RNA, 372 nt
Filed under: uncultured organism
Description: bacterial SSU rRNA
Rfam family: Bacterial small subunit ribosomal RNA
Source: RNAcentral